UACGUAUGGUGCAAGCGUUAUCCGGAUUUACUGGGCGUAAAGGGAGCGCAGGCGGCGCGCCAAGUCUGAUGUGAAACCCCGGGGCUCAACCCCGGGCAUGCAUUGGAAACUGGCGGGCUGGAGUGCCGGAGAGGUAAGCGGAAUUCCUAGUGUAGCGGUGAAAUGCGUAGAUAUUAGGAGGAACACCAGUGGCGAAGGCGACUCACUGGACUGUAACUGACACUGAGGUACGAAAGCGUGGGGAGCAAACAGG
This 253-nucleotide ribosomal RNA is filed under the name uncultured bacterium. Its description in RNAcentral is "partial 16S ribosomal RNA". It matches the Rfam family "Bacterial small subunit ribosomal RNA", at positions 524 to 776 of the family's 1533-position model. The record is from RNAcentral.